CUGGCGGCGUGCUUAACACAUGCAAGUCGAACGAAGCAUCCCUCCCGAAGAAGCGGAAGUGCUUGCACAGAAGUGGAUUCAUUUGGGAUGACUUAGUGGCGGACGGGUGAGUAACGCGUGGGCAACCUGCCCUAUAGAGGGGGACAACAGUUAGAAAUGACUGCUAAUACCGCAUAGUAAUGCAGAUCCGCAUGCUUCUGCAUUGAAAGCUUUUGCGCUAUAGGAUGGGCCCGCGUUUGAUUAGCUAGUUGGUGAGGUAACGGCCCACCAAGGCGACGAUCAAUAGCCGGCUUGAGAGAGUGAACGACCACAUUGGGACUGAGACACGGCCCAAACUCCUACGGGAGGCAGCAGUGGGGAAUAUUGCACAAUGGGGGAAACCCUGAUGCAGCGAACCGCCGCGUGAGUGAAGAAGUAUUUCGGUAUGUAAAGCUCUAUCAGCAGGAAAGAUAAUGACGGUACCUGACUAAGAAGCCCCGGCUAACUACGUGCCAGCAGCAGC
This 502-nucleotide ribosomal RNA is filed under the name uncultured bacterium. RNAcentral describes it as "bacterial SSU rRNA". It matches the Rfam family "Bacterial small subunit ribosomal RNA", at positions 36 to 518 of the family's 1533-position model. The record is from RNAcentral.